GACGAACGCUGGCGGCGUGCCUAAUACAUGCAAGUCGAACGCAGGGGGGACGGGUGAGUAACACGGGGGUAACCUCCCAUAAGGGGGGAUAACACUUGGAAACAGGUGCUAAAACCGAAAUGGAUGGAGGGACCCGCGGUGCAUUAGCUAGUGGGUGGGGUAACGGCUAACCAAGGCCACGAUGCAUAGGCGACCUGAGAGGGUGAUCGGCCACACUGGGACUGAGACACGGCCCAGACUCCUACGGGAGGCAGCAGUAGGGAAUCUUCGGCAAUGGACGAAAGUCUGACCGAGCAACGCCGCGUGAGUGAAGAAGGUUUUCGGAUCGUAAAACUCUGUUGUUAGAGAAGCGGUAUCUAACCAGAAAGCCACGGCUAACUACGUGCCAGCAGCCGCGGUAAUUC
This 404-nucleotide ribosomal RNA is filed under the name uncultured bacterium. Its description in RNAcentral is "partial 16S ribosomal RNA". It matches the Rfam family "Bacterial small subunit ribosomal RNA", at positions 28 to 526 of the family's 1533-position model. The record is from RNAcentral.